GGGUCAGUAGGUUGGUCGUGCCACCGGUACGUACUGGUCUCACUGAUUCCUCCUUCCUGAAUAACCGUAAUGCCAUUAAUUUGGUGUUGCGGGGAAACAGGACUGUUACUUUGAAAAAAUUAGAGUGUUUAAAGCAAGCUAACGCUUGAAUACAUUGGCAUGGAAUAAUGAAAUAGGACGAUCGAUCCUAUUUUGUUGGUUUCUAGGAUUGACGUA
Molecule: ribosomal RNA, 216 nt
Filed under: Glomeromycotina sp.
Lineage: Eukaryota; Fungi; Glomeromycota
Description: partial small subunit ribosomal RNA
Rfam family: Eukaryotic small subunit ribosomal RNA (bases 40-216)
Source: RNAcentral